RNAcentral lists this long non-coding RNA (392 nucleotides) under Bos mutus (wild yak). RNAcentral's name for it is "lncRNA (ENSBMUG00000006994.1)". Lineage: Eukaryota; Metazoa; Chordata; Mammalia; Artiodactyla; Bovidae. The record is from RNAcentral.
GUCGUGCUGGCACUUUUACUGGCAGGGUCUUAGAGCUGAGCCUGUAGCCGGGCGCCAUCUUUGACUCUGGCAGUCUUGGAUUUCUGCUGGUGUUGCUGCUGAGAAGACGGCGGGCGGCAGCGGCUAAGAAAGAAGAAAGACGUGGCAGCAAGCGGGAGUCGGGGAUAGUGUCGACGGUUCGGUAAAGUUUCUGUUCUCUGAUUUGGGGAUAUUCCCUGCCCAAAAAUUUCCUGGAAAAUUGACUAGUAUUAAGUGCGUAAUAAAUUGGAACUCAGUGAAGACACAGACAUUCCUGUUGAGAUCAACCAGCUAAUGUAAGUGUGGAAAUGGGUUUGUUUUUUUUUUUUAAUCAUUAAAGGGGUAAACAUUUUUGUAAUUUAUGGCAUAAUUUU